Molecule: ribosomal RNA, 389 nt
Filed under: uncultured bacterium
Lineage: Bacteria
Description: bacterial SSU rRNA
Rfam family: Bacterial small subunit ribosomal RNA
Source: RNAcentral
AUUGAACGCUGGCGGCAUGCCUUACACAUGCAAGUCGAACGGCAGCGGACCUUCGGGUGCCGGCGAGUGGCGAACGGGUGAGUAAUAUAUCGGAACGGUACCUUUCAGUGGGGGAGUAACGUAGCGAAAGUUACGCUAAUACCGCAUAUUCUGUGAGCAGGAAAGCAGGGGAUCGCAAGACCUUGCGCUGAUUGAGCGGCCGAUAUCAGAUUAGCUAGUUGGUGGAGGUAAAGGCUCACCAAGGCGACCGAUCUGUAGCGGGUCUGAGAGGAUGAUCCGCCACACUGGAACUGAGACACGGUCCAGACUCCUACGGGAGGCAGCAGUGGGGAAUUUUGGACAAUGGGCGCAAGCCUGAUCCAGCCAUGCCGCGUGAGUGAAGAAGGCCU